This 115-nucleotide ribosomal RNA is filed under the name Danio rerio (zebrafish). The record is from RNAcentral. Lineage: Eukaryota; Metazoa; Chordata; Actinopteri; Cypriniformes; Danionidae.
GCUGGCAGCUAACUCUCUGCAACUCUCACAUGGUCACCCACUGAAGCUAAGCAGGGCUGCACCUGGUCAGUACCUGGAUGGGAGACUACAUGGGAGAGCUAGGUUGCUGCCGGAA